This is a long non-coding RNA of Macaca mulatta (Rhesus monkey), 536 nucleotides long. RefSeq lists it as uncharacterized. Lineage: Eukaryota; Metazoa; Chordata; Mammalia; Primates; Cercopithecidae. The record is from RefSeq and is a predicted model, not a curated record.
AAGGCAAACGAGUCAGCUGUUUUCACUUAGGGCCAAAGUUCUAGGCUAGAAGGCGGAGUUUAGUCAGGAACCCAUCCAUUCCGUAUCCGUUGGGGGACCUUAGAAAUGUAUUUUUGGUUUACAGGCUCGUCUGCCUGUGGAGCCCUUUGUGACUGCCCAGGUCCUUUCACUCCUUUCCUUCCCGGGCUUGUGCACGCUGGGUCAGGCCCCGUCUCACUGUGACUGCUCAUCCUUUUGGGCACCAGAGCCAUGAGGAAGCAGGACUCAGGCCCCCGACUCCUAACUCCAGGUGAAGCCCACCCUGAGCUCAGGAGCAGAGCUGCCUCCAUUGGGUGUGGAGAGACGGAGCCUCCUCCCGAGCCGGGCCUCCUCAUUGGCCCACGGGAGCUGCUGUGGCUCUGACCCCUGUACCUGGCUCUGUCGACUGGAAUAGUUAGUGGGCAGCCAGCACGCCUUUGGGUGCCAUGUGUGGUGAGAUCCUAUCCUGACUUGACAUUUUAAAAGGUUGUCAAUAAAAAGAGCCAAACUCUGUAAAA